RNAcentral lists this ribosomal RNA (446 nucleotides) under Aristerostoma sp. ATCC 50986. RNAcentral describes it as "partial Bacterial large subunit ribosomal RNA". It matches the Rfam family "Bacterial large subunit ribosomal RNA", at positions 3 to 517 of the family's 2925-position model. Lineage: Eukaryota; Ciliophora; Colpodea; Cyrtolophosidida; Cyrtolophosididae. The record is from RNAcentral.
UCAAGCCAGUAAGGGCAUACGGUGGAUGACUUGGCGUCAAGAGGCGAUGAAAGACGUUGGAACCUGCGAAAAGCUACAGGGAGCUGGUAACCGAGCUGUGAUCUGUAGAUGUCUGAAUGGGGCAACCCACCCGCAAGGGUAUCGUGCACUGAAUGCAUAGGUGUACGAGGCAAACCCAGGGAACUGAAACAUCUAAGUACCUGGAGGAAAGGAAAGCAACAUGCGACUCCGUAAGUAGCGGCGAGCGAAAGCGGAUAGAUGUGAACUCUGUGAACACGUUGGAAUGCGUGACCAAAGACGGUGAAAGUCCGGUAGCGGAAUGUAGCAUCAUAGCUCUAGAGUAGGCUCGGGCUCGUGGAACCCGGGUUGAAUAUGGGAGGUCCACCUUCCAAGGCUAAGUACUCCUUGACGACCGAUAGUGUACCAGUACCGUGAGGGAAAGGUGA